AGGGGAAUAGUUCAAGGGUAGAAUAGUGGUCUCCAAAACCAAAGAUUAAGGGUUCAAAUCCCUUUUCUCCUG
RNAcentral lists this transfer RNA (72 nucleotides) under Entransia fimbriata. Its description in RNAcentral is "tRNA-Trp". It matches the Rfam family "tRNA". Rfam says of the family: Transfer RNA (tRNA) molecules are approximately 80 nucleotides in length. Their secondary structure includes four short double-helical elements and three loops (D, anti-codon, and T loops). The record is from RNAcentral. Lineage: Eukaryota; Viridiplantae; Streptophyta; Klebsormidiophyceae; Entransiales; Entransiaceae.